UUCAGCUCUCCUCGGGAUACUCCUCGAUCGGUGCCAAGCGCUACGUCUUUACCUGGAAUCGUAACAAGGUAGCCGUAGAGCCCGGUAGUGGGGGAUAACUCGGGGAAACCCGAGCUAAUACCGCAUACGUCCUACGGGAGAAAGCAGGGGAUCUUCGGACCUUGCGCUAUCGGAUGAGCCCAUGUCGGAUUAGCUUGUUGGUGAGGUAACGGCUCACCAAGGCCGCGAUCCGUAGCUGGUCUGAGAGGAUGAUCAGCCACACCGGGACUGAGACACGGCCCGGACUCCUACGGGAGGCAGCAGUGGGGAAUAUUGGACAAUGGGGGAAACCCUGAUCCAGCCAUGCCGCGUGUGUGAAGAAGGCCUUCGGGUUGUAAAGCACUUUCAGUGGGGAAGAAGGCAUGGUGGUUAAUAACCAUCAUGAAGGACAUCACCCACAGAAGAAGCCCCGGCUAACUCCGUGCCAGCAGCCGCGGUAAUACGGAGGGUGCAAGCGUUAAUCGGAAUUACUGGGCGUAAAGGGCGCGUAGGCGGCUUGCCAAGCCGGAUGUGAAAGCCCCGGGCUCAACCCGGGAACGGCAUUCGGAACUGGCAGGCUAGAGUGCAGGAGAGGAAGGUGGAAUUCCCGGUGUAGCGGUGAAAUGCGUAGAGAUCGGGAGGAAUACCAGUGGCGAAGGCGGCCUUCUGGACUGACACUGACGCUGAGGCGCGAAAGCGUGGGUAGCAAACAGGAUUAGAUACCCUGGUAGUCCACGCCGUAAACGAUGUCGACCAGCCGUUGGACCCCUUGAGGGUUUGGUGGCGCAGUUAACGCAAUAAGUCGACCGCCUGGGGAGUACGGCCGCAAGGCUAAAACUCAAAUGAAUUGACGGGGGCCCGCACAAGCGGUGGAGCAUGUGGUUUAAUUCGAUGCAACGCGAAGAACCUUACCUG
Molecule: ribosomal RNA, 933 nt
Filed under: Kushneria marisflavi
Lineage: Bacteria; Pseudomonadati; Pseudomonadota; Gammaproteobacteria; Oceanospirillales; Halomonadaceae
Description: bacterial SSU rRNA
Rfam family: Bacterial small subunit ribosomal RNA
Source: RNAcentral